This 137-nucleotide ribosomal RNA is filed under the name uncultured bacterium. RNAcentral's name for it is "partial 16S ribosomal RNA". It matches the Rfam family "Bacterial small subunit ribosomal RNA", at positions 370 to 524 of the family's 1533-position model. The record is from RNAcentral.
AAUGGGCGCAAGCCUGAUCCAGCCAUGCCGCGUGAGUGAUGAAGGCCUUCGGGUUGUAAAGCUCUUUUGGCGGGGAAGAUAAUGACGGUACCCGCAGAAUAAGCCCCGGCUAACUUCGUGCCAGCAGCCGCGGUAAU